AGAAAUUUAGGUUAAUAUUAAACCAAGGGCCUUCAAAGCCCUAAACAGAAGUGAAACCCCUCUAAUUUCUG
This 71-nucleotide transfer RNA is filed under the name Microphis boaja (Asian river pipefish). RNAcentral describes it as "tRNA-Trp". It matches the Rfam family "tRNA". From Rfam's summary of the family: Transfer RNA (tRNA) molecules are approximately 80 nucleotides in length. The record is from RNAcentral. Lineage: Eukaryota; Metazoa; Chordata; Actinopteri; Syngnathiformes; Syngnathidae.